AGAGACACAGAGGGGCUGGGGAAAGGGAACAAGAGGCACACAGAGGAGGUGAGGAAGGGGAGAAAGAGACACACAUAGGGGCUCGGGAGAGAGAUACACAAAAGGGGCUUACGGGAGAAAGAGACAAACAGUGGGGUUUGGAAAGGCUAAUUGACAAACAGAGGGGUUGGGGGCAAUAGACACAGGAAAGAGGAUUGGGGGAGAAAGAGACCCAGAGGGACUGGGGAAGGGGAACAAGAGAAACACAG
Molecule: non-coding RNA, 248 nt
Organism: Pelobates cultripes (western spadefoot toad)
Lineage: Eukaryota; Metazoa; Chordata; Amphibia; Anura; Pelobatidae
Source: the annotation of a GenBank genome assembly